RNAcentral lists this ribosomal RNA (255 nucleotides) under uncultured bacterium. RNAcentral's name for it is "partial 16S ribosomal RNA". It matches the Rfam family "Bacterial small subunit ribosomal RNA", at positions 524 to 776 of the family's 1533-position model. The record is from RNAcentral.
UACGUAGGGUGCAAGCGUUGUCCGGAAUUAUUGGGCGUAAAGAGCUCGUAGGCGGUCUGUCGCGUCGGAUGUGAAAACUCGGGGCUCAACCCCGAGCCUGCAUUCGAUACGGGCAGACUAGAGUUCGGUAGGGGAGACUGGAAUUCCUGGUGUAGCGGUGAAAUGCGCAGAUAUCAGGAAGAACACCCGUGGCGAAGGCGGCUCUCUGGGACGGUACUGACGCUGAGACGCGAAAAGCGUGGGGGAGCGAACAGG